RNAcentral lists this transfer RNA (85 nucleotides) under Chloroflexota bacterium. RNAcentral describes it as "Chloroflexi bacterium (anaerobic digester metagenome) tRNA-Leu". It matches the Rfam family "tRNA". Rfam says of the family: Transfer RNA (tRNA) molecules are approximately 80 nucleotides in length. Their secondary structure includes four short double-helical elements and three loops (D, anti-codon, and T loops). The record is from RNAcentral. Lineage: Bacteria; Bacillati; Chloroflexota.
GCCGAAGUGGCGGAAUAGGCAGACGCGCGCGACUCAAAAUCGCGUACCCUCGGGUAUGUGGGUUCGAUUCCCACCUUCGGCACCA